AUUGAACGCUGGCGGCAGGCCUAACACAUGCAAGUCGAGCGGAUGAAGGGAGCUUGCUCCUGGAUUCAGCGGCGGACGGGUGAGUAAUGCCUAGGAAUCUGCCUGGUAGUGGGGGAUAACGUCCGGAAACGGGCGCUAAUACCGCAUACGUCCUGAGGGAGAAAGUGGGGGAUCUUCGGACCUCACGCUAUCAGCUGAGUCUAGGUCGGAUUAGCUAGUUGGUGGGGUAAAGGCCUACCAAGGCGACGAUCCGUAACUGGUCUGAGAGGAUGAUCAGUCACACUGGAACUGAGACACGGUCCAGACUCCUACGGGAGGCAGCAGUGGGGAAUAUUGGACAAUGGGCGAAAGCCUGAUCCAGCCAUGCCGCGUGUGUGAAGAAGGUCUUCGGAUUGUAAAGCACUUUAAGUUGGGAGGAAGGGCAGUAAGUUAAUACCUUGCUGUUUUGACGUUACCAACAGAAUAAGCACCGGCUAACUUCGUG
Molecule: ribosomal RNA, 484 nt
Filed under: uncultured bacterium
Lineage: Bacteria
Description: partial 16S ribosomal RNA
Rfam family: Bacterial small subunit ribosomal RNA
Source: RNAcentral